GCUAAUGUAGCUUAACUAAAGCAUAACCCCGAAGCCGUUAAGAUAAACCCUAAAAAGUUUCGUUAGCA
This 68-nucleotide transfer RNA is filed under the name Neogobius melanostomus (round goby). Its description in RNAcentral is "tRNA-Phe". Lineage: Eukaryota; Metazoa; Chordata; Actinopteri; Gobiiformes; Gobiidae. The record is from RNAcentral.